Molecule: long non-coding RNA, 473 nt
Organism: Episyrphus balteatus (marmalade hoverfly)
Lineage: Eukaryota; Metazoa; Arthropoda; Insecta; Diptera; Syrphidae
Exons: 2
Source: RefSeq, a predicted model, not a curated record
UAUUUUAUUCUGUUUGUAUUUUUAGUUUCGCUUGAGUGUUUUCAUUGUUUUUAUACAUUUUUAAGUGCUUCAUAAAUUAACAGUUAAUACUUCCGUAUUCCAUCAAAGCCUUACACAUGAGUUGUUGAAAUAAUGGUUUACAAUGUUUUUAUAGUGGCGCUUAUACUUGGCUGAAUUUUGAAAAAAUUAGAGGAUUUUUCAUCUCGAGGAUAUAACCAGUCUCUAUUCGGAAUUAGAGCUGUUCCAGAUGACAAAUGUUUCAUUUUUGUUGGCAUUAACGGUAGCACUCUCCCUUCGGACCACAUCUUCAGAAAGAGGUCUUAGGACCAAUAAAUGUUUAAUGGAACGCACUCAUUUCCGUUAUUGAAUAAAAUUUAAGGACUUUCAGUUAAAAUUUGUAGAUUAAUCUUGCAGUGGAAGAUGUUUAUUUUCGCCUUUAUGAGUCAUCAUAAAUAAAUACGUUCCACAACCUU